CCUACGGGUGGCAGCAGUCGAGAAUCAUUCACAAUGGGGGAAACCCUGAUGGUGCGACGCCGCGUGGGGGAAUGAAGGUCUUCGGAUUGUAAACCCCUGUCAUGUGGGAGCAAAUUAAAAAGAUAGUACCACAAGAGGAAGAGACGGCUAACUCUGUGCCAGCAGCCGCGGUAAUACAGAGGUCUCAAGCGUUGUUCGGAAUCACUGGGCGUAAAGCGUGCGUAGGCUGUUUCGUAAGUCGUGUGUGAAAGGCGCGGGCUCAACCCGCGGACGGCACAUGAGACUACGAGACUAGAGUAAUGGAGUGGGAACCGGAAUUCUCGGUGUAGCAGUGAAAUGCGUAGAUAUCGAGAGGAACACUCGUGGCGAAGGCGGGUUCCUGGACAUUAACUGACGCUGAGGCACGAAGGCCAGGGGAGCGAAAGGGAUUAGAUACCCGGGUAGUC
Molecule: ribosomal RNA, 446 nt
Filed under: Aliarcobacter cryaerophilus
Lineage: Bacteria; Pseudomonadati; Campylobacterota; Epsilonproteobacteria; Campylobacterales; Arcobacteraceae
Description: bacterial SSU rRNA
Rfam family: Bacterial small subunit ribosomal RNA
Source: RNAcentral